ACACUCUGUACUGUGCUACCGGUUGGUACACAAAUGAAUAUACUUAGUUGUCACUCACGUCAUGAUAGAGCACAUGUCAUUUGCAGCCACGAGGCAAAGAGAAAGCCGAAGAGAGAGCCAGACGACUGUCUCCUAGUACUUGUACGUCGGUCAUUUUGAUAACUACUCAACGCUGCCCAGCACAAGAUUCAGCAUUCAAUUACUCUCAUAAUUUUAUUGUCAUUUCAUCUUUUAUGGGGGACGCCCCACUCUUAAUUUUUAUUACUGAAUGGCUGCUGACGUACGUAUAUAUAAGAGCACUACAAGAUACGACAGGAAAGGGAUGGUGCUAUGAUUCUUAGCCCAGCUUUCUGAUCGAGGAGGAGAUAAUCUGUUAUUGGCUAUUGGCUCUGAGUGAUGGAGUGGAUCUACCUCUGAGAGCCAGUUACUGUAUCAUGCAGUGUAUGUGAUUUUCUGACAGGAAAGGCUACUCUAAACAGAGGGAGUCGGCCACACAAGGUAUAGUCUAAUAAUUAUUGUACAGUACUAGAUGAUCUUCUCUGUUUUGGGUCAGAUGCAAUUGCCUUGAAUCACUAGCCGGUUUAAAACAUUUCUUCUACUCUUGGCUUAAGAAAUUAUUGUACCAGCAUUAGGUAGUUAACUCCACUUAUGCAUUGACCUCUACUACCGUGUAGCGGGAAAGUUCGUUAUUUGAGCCCUAGAGAAAUGUUGUUCACAUUUCAAUGCCAGGAAACCAAUAGCUUUGCAUGUGAAAUACUGGUGCGUGGGAGUGUCUUCCAUUUAUAUUACAUGAAGUGUGAAGUGUGUUGUAAGUUUGUACAGAGAGGACUCCCAUGGUGGCAAUGAAUGUAUGGCAAUGAUCUGAUGAUGGCUCCACUGCUCUGAUGGACCAAUGCAGGAGAAGUUAUUCUGUAUAAUUAUUACACUAAAUUAAUGUAUGCCACUGUUUGGAUCGGUUUCUGUUCUGCUCAGCUUCUUCCUCCAACUUGCUUACGCAGGCUAAGCUUAUUCUUAGUUCAUUCUUAGUUCAUUCUAUAGUCUAGUAUUAUUGUCGGUUUGGUUGUUUGAUGUUUUUCACCUGGUCAUACGGAAUCACUUCAUUAUUAUCAGUGCAGACCACACCUCUAUCCACACAUUGUAUCUGCACAUCCUGUAUAUAAUUAUGGGGCCACACCCCCACUCACUGUACUGAUAUGUGGUCACACCCCCAUACAUGGUAACCCUCUUGACCACACCCCCACCCAUGCAUUGUGUCGUACAUGCUGUGUUUUUGUGUACAGUACACACAUCAUCCGUGUCUUUAUCCCCACACCUAGUCGGAGGGAGCAGCAAGUUCUACUAAGAGCCAGCAUCACCAACUAACCAACACUACAAAACCUACCUACUACCAGCUAGGACAGCACACCACCCGGGACAGAUCUACUAUCUCAGGCAGUGUAUGUGAUUUUCUGACAGGAAAGGCUACUCUAAACAGAGGGAGUCGGCCACACAAGGUAUAGUCUAAUAAUUAUUGUACAGUACUAGAUGAUCUUCUCUGUUUUGGGUCAGAUGCAAUUGCCUUGAAUCACUAGCCAGUUUAAAACAUUUCUUCUACUCUUGGCUUAAGAAAUUGUAUUUUAUUAUUGUACCAGUAUUAGGUAGUUAACUCCACUUAUGCAUUGACCUCUACUACUGUGUAGCGGGAAAGUUCAUUAUUUGAGCCCUCGAGAAAUGUUGUAUAGUUGUUCUCAUUUCAAUGCCAGGAAACCAUAGCUUUGCAUGGUGCGUGGGAGUGUCUUCUAUUUUUAUUACGUGAAGUGUGAAGUGUGUUGUAAGUUUGUACAGAGAGGACUCCCAUGGUGGCAAUGAUCUGAUGAUGGCUCCACUGCUCUGAUGGACCAAUGCAGGAGAAGUUAUUCUGUAUAAUUAUCACACUAAAUUAAUGUAUGCCACUGUUUGGAUCGGUUUCUGUUCUGCUCAGCUUCUUCCUCCAACUUGCUUACGCAGGCUAAGCUUAUUCUUAAUUAGUUCAUUCUUAGUUCAUUCUAUAGUCUAGUAUAUUGUCGGUUUGGUUGUUUUAUGUUUUUCACCUGGUCAUACGGAAUCACUUCAUUAAUUUUUAUACAGUGCAGACCACACCUCUAUCCACACAUUGUACCUGCACAUCCUGUAUAUAUGGGGCCACACCCCCACUCACUGUACUGAUAUGUGGUCACACCCCCAUACAUGGUAACCCUCUUGACCACACCUCCACCCAUGCAUUGUGUCGUACAUGCUGUGUUUUUGUGUACAGUACACACAUCAUCCGUGUCUUUGUCCCCACACCUAGUCGGAGGGAGCAGCAAGUUUUACUAAGAGCCAGCAUCACCAACUAACCAACACUACAAAACCUACCUACUACCAGCUAGGACAGCACACCACCCGGGACAGACUCUACUAUACCAUGUAAUACGCCUUUGUAUUACGAUCAUGAUACAAUUUGCUGCCCUCCCUCGCCAAUGGAUUGAAUAAUUAUGGACACUCGCAGGAGACUGACACACAAUAAUAGACACCAAAGGGCCAGUUACUGUAUCAUGUACGGAUAUUCUGUUGCUUGUACAUUUCGUAACAUUAUCAGUAAUUGACUGUAGAGUAGCUCCCCUUUCUUCAUCACUCAAUGCAGGCAGUGUAUGUGAUUUUCUGACAGGAAAGGCUACUCUAAACAGAGGGAGUCGGCCACACAAGGUAUAGUCUAAUAAUUAUUGUACGGUACUUAGAUGAUCUUCUCUGUUUUGGGUCAGAUGCAAUUGCCUUCAAUCACUAGCCAGUUUAAAACAUUUCUUCUACUCUUGGCUUAAGAAAUUGUAUUUUAUUAUUGUACCAGCAUUAGGUAGUUAACUCCACUUAUGCAUUGACCUCUACUACUGUGUAGCGGGAAAGUUCGUUAUUUGAGCCCUCGAGAAAUGUUGUAUAGUUGUUCUCAUUUCAAUGCCAGGAAACCAUAGCUUUGCAUGGUGCGUGGGAGUGUCUUCCAUUUAUAUUACAUGAAGUGUGAAGUGUGUUGUAAGUUUGUACAGAGAGGACUCCCAUGGUGGCAAUGAUCUGAUGAUGGCUCCACUGCUCUGAUGGACCAAUGCAGGAGAAGUUAUUCUGUAUAAUUAUUACACUAAAUUAAUGUAUGCCACUGUUUGGAUCGGUUUCUGUUCUGCUCAGCUUCUUCCUCCAACUUGCUUACGCAGGCUAAGCUUAUUCUUAGUUCAUUCUUAGUUCAUUCUAUAGUCUAGUAUUAUUGUCGGUUUGGUUGUUUUAUGUUUUUCACCUGGUCAUACGGAAUCACUUCAUUAAUUUUUAUACAGUGCAGACCACACCUCUAUCCACACAUUGUACCUGCACAUCCUGUAUAUAUGGGGCCACACCCCCACUCACUGUACUGAUAUGUGGUCACACCCCCAUACAUGGUAACCCUCUUGACCACACCUCCACUCAUGCAUUGUGUCGUACAUGCUGUGUUUUUGUGUACAGUACACACAUCAUCCGUGUCUUUAUCCCCACACCUAGUCGGAGGGAGCAGCAAGUUCUACUAAGAGCCAGCAUCACCAACUAACCAACACACUACAACACCUACCUACUACCAGGUAGGACAGCACACCACCCAGGACAGACUCUACUAUACCAUGUAAUACGCCUUUGUAUUACGAUCAUGAUACAAUUUGCUGCCCUCCCUCGCCAAUGGAUUGAAUAAUUAUGGACACUCGCAGGACAACUAAGAGACUGACACACAAUAAUAGACACCAAAGGCAGUGUAUGUGAUUUUCUGACAGGAAAGGCUACUCUAAACAAAGGGAGUCGGCCACACAAGUCGGAGGGAGCAGCAAGUUCUACUAAGAGCCAGCAUCACCAACUAACCAACACUACAAGACCUACCUACUACCAGCUAGGACAGCACACCACCCGGGACAGACUCUACUAUACCAUGUAAUACGCCUUUUUAUUACGAUCAUGAUACAAUUUGCUGCCCUCCCUUGCCCAUGGAUUGAAUAAUUAUGGACACUCGCAGGACAACUAAGAGACUGACACACAAUAAUAGACACCUAACUGCAUUUUUGCCAUUAAUAUAAUAAAAAUAAUUUUGCCAUUAA
Molecule: long non-coding RNA, 4097 nt
Organism: Halichondria panicea
Lineage: Eukaryota; Metazoa; Porifera; Demospongiae; Suberitida; Halichondriidae
Exons: 7
Source: RefSeq, a predicted model, not a curated record